RNAcentral lists this ribosomal RNA (450 nucleotides) under uncultured bacterium. RNAcentral describes it as "partial 16S ribosomal RNA". It matches the Rfam family "Bacterial small subunit ribosomal RNA", at positions 338 to 795 of the family's 1533-position model. The record is from RNAcentral.
CCUACGGGUGGCUGCAGUAAGGAAUAUUGGUCAAUGGAGGAAACUCUGAACCAGCCAUCCCGCGUGAAGGAUGAAGGGGCUCUGCCUUGUAAACUUCUUUUGUCUGGGGCGAAAAAGCUCGAUUUAUCGAGAACUGACGGUACCAGAAGAAUAAGCACCGGCUAACUCCGUGCCAGCAGCCGCGGUAAUACGGAGGGUGCCGGCGUUAUCCGGAAUCAAUGGGUUGAAGGGGGCUGUAUACGUCAUAGGAGAAAGGCUGGGGCUUAACCAUGGAAUUGCCAUUGAUACUGCAGAGCUUGAAUGAGGUUGAGGUUGGCGGAAUGUGACAUGUAGCGGUGAAAUGCUUAGAGAUGUCAUGGAACACCGAUUGCGAAGGCAGCUGACUGGACCUAUAUUGACGCUGAGGCACGAAAGCGUGGGGAGCGAACAGGAUUAGAUACCCCGGUAGUC